This 240-nucleotide unclassified non-coding RNA is filed under the name soil metagenome. Its description in RNAcentral is "partial contains 5.8S ribosomal RNA, internal transcribed spacer 2, and large subunit ribosomal RNA". The record is from RNAcentral.
AAGACUAUAGACCUGCGGAGUACCUGCGGAGGGAUCAUUAUUGAAAGGGAUGUGCUGGCCCCUUUAGGGGCAUGUGAACUCCAAAAAGUCAAUAUCCCCAACUGUGCACUUUUUGGUAGGCAAUAGACUCCUUGCAAGUCUUUUGUCUAUGUUUUAUUACAAACACUUGACCUAUUUCAAUGUUUUUAUACAAUAACAUAUAAUUUUGUUAUACAACAACUUUUAACAACGGAUCUCUAG